UCGUUCACAAGUUUUUCUGUUUACGCUCCUGGCGUUUCAUUCAGCGGUCACUUCAGGAAACCACCAGGGAACCUUGUCGGAAGUGGGAUAAAAACUUCCCUCUUUCUCUACGUGCUUAAAUCCACUGCUUCAUGGCCAAGAAAUGCUUACUAUGGCACGCCGCCGCAUGACAGCACACCUAAUAGAUGAAGUCACUGAAUUGCUGGAGUAGAACAACUUGAUUGAAAGCUCUAACCCUACUGCCGGAAGGUGGAACUACUGUGCCUUUGCAGAAACUCUACAUGAAGCUUAUCCACGAAUGGUAUGGAAAGAAAAGGAACUUCAGCAGCUUG
Long non-coding RNA from Rhipicephalus sanguineus (brown dog tick), 332 nucleotides. RefSeq lists it as uncharacterized. NCBI's taxonomy places the organism in Eukaryota, Metazoa, Arthropoda, Arachnida, Ixodida, Ixodidae. The transcript has 3 exons. The record is from RefSeq and is a predicted model, not a curated record.